AAAACUCUAUAAAGCGCACAGAUGCAGCGGCGUCUACAGCCCCUGUUUCACUCGAGAAGUGAGGUGGGCUACUCCACAGCCAUCUUGCUGACGCUGCGGAAAGCGAGUACUCAGAGCACCAGCAGCAGCGGAGGUUGCAUAGAAGAUGAGGACCCUUCUGUAGUGCUACGGCAGCUACAGAAAGAUAUGCGAAAGCGGGCUCUUGCAGAGGAGAAGGAGGCUCCUCCAGCGUUGCCGCGCCGCCCCGGUAAAACCAAUUUCUUCGAGGAGCCGAACCCCUCGAGUAACGGCUCUGAAAAGCAGGGCGAUGGUUCCGCGAGCACCACCGAUCUUGCUGGAAAGAAGGUUAACACAAAGUUUGAUGUGUCCGGUAAGGCGAAUUUCGAGAGCCAAUGCGACGCGAAAGAGGGUGCCUCUAACCCGUUUCUUCAGAAGCUAUCCAAGAUGGAGUCGGACUCGCGGCUGCCAUCGUUUCCGACCUACAAUGCGGCAGCUGAGGAGCGACGCAAAAGGAUCGAGGCCAAAAUCAAAGCAGAGCGCUCUAAGAUGCUGAUCUUUCGCGAUGUCGGGAUGGAUCUUGACAAGCCGAUUCUGUCUCGCGAUGUUUUUCUGGUGCUGAAGUACUUCCGAUACGGAAUGGAUUUCGCUGUAGACAAUGAACUGGAGCGAAUGCUGCGCUACUUCAACGAGCACGCCACAAACGAGCUCAAGAUCAUUCAAGACAGCAAGCUGAUGCGCGGCCCACCGUUUCUGUCGCGCAAGCGGCGCACCGCGUCACGACAAAGGCCCUCGACGUCUUCGUCGAUCAAGCCUGCACCUUCUGUCGGAGCGUCUGCGCAAGGCGAUCUCGCGGAGCGGGGGGGUUCGACGGUAGCGCUGAAUCAGCAGGGCCUGCAGUUUCAAAUCAGCUCUACGUUUCCUCACGUUCGUUGCGCACACAUGCGUCAGUUUUGCUCUCCCAACACGUUCAGCGCAGCUGCCACAUCGAAGCUGGCCACACUUCUGUCUGUCAGCCAUAGCUCAUGGCCUUUUGCCUCGUAUUUCCCAUCUAUGACAGUGCAAGAGGCGAGAGGCAGCGCCGGUAAGUCGUACAACGCGAAGGCCAGUGAGUUGUUCACUACGAUGACACCCUCCAUGUUUCGUCGGCCAGCUGUAGUCAUUUUCUCCCAACUGGGGCAGAAGUUCGGCUCUCAGGCCGACAUACAUUGGCGCCGGCUUGCCUACGCCACGACCUGCCCAGGACUCCUGCCGUAUAUCUUCCCCUCAGCCCAAGAGGCGGGCACAGCAACGAGCGGCGUCUCCAGAUCGGGCCCGACAGGGAAAGACGGCAGCGUUGCUCGUGCCGCUUCAUCGUCGCGGUCGAUGCCGAUCGAUGUGAUUUCGCUGCGUAGUGCUGACGUCUACAAGUACCGCUGGGUGCAGCGUCUGUACGUGAGCCGAUUCGCCAAAUCACUUUCUCAAACAACAGUUUCGGAAUCUGGAGAGCAGCCAUCCAUAGACGAGAUCAAAAAUGCCCUGAUAGCCUCUUCCACAUUUGUUGGCAGCCAGCUACUGGAGCCGUUCUACGCUACGCUGGGCUUGCGCAACUAUCUUCUGCCGCAUGUGAUGCUGGUAGACCAUGAAGGCGUCGUCCGGUGGCUCAGCGGUGGUCUCCCCGAUGCGGAUGAGAAGGCUGUGUUUCCUUCGCUUUUACGGCAGCUGGAGUCAGAGUACCUCAAGGCACCCAAGUAGACCGCGUUUCUCCUCCAGUGCACCUCCCUCACCUUUCGUUUCCUUCCCUCUGCAUGUUUGUGUGUGUGUGUGUGUGUGUGUGUGUGUGUGUGUGUGUGUGCAACGGUGUAUGUGUUUCAGCGCGGGCGUUGUUGUUUUCUGUUUUUACGAGUUGUCUGAGUGCCGCAAGGGGCACGCGGUGCUGUGUGAGAAAAUCAAGACCCCUCUCCACCACCCUUCUCCCCUCUCCCCCUUCUGCUGUGUAUAUCUCCACAUUGUGGGCUACCGCAUGGGUGCGGGGAGAGGGAGGGAAGGAAUACAAGGCACGUUAUUAAUCGCCGUCUUUUUUUGGCUGUGGCUCUUCUUGUGGUUGCUGUUUUCUGUAUGUGUGUGUGUGUGUGUUUUCCUUCUAAGGCAGUUUUUCACAUGACGAGUUUAACCCGAUAAAGUCGUGCAACCACAACCACUACCACCCACAAAAAAAUGAAAGAGAGAAGUGCUGGACGCAGACAUUGUUGUAGAGGAGAAAGAUUACCGCACGAGAGCGCAUGCAACAUGGUGAGUCU
RNAcentral lists this unclassified non-coding RNA (2276 nucleotides) under Leishmania donovani. RNAcentral describes it as "gene:LdHU3.17.1360(CDS-product:hypothetical_prote in_conserved)". Lineage: Eukaryota; Euglenozoa; Kinetoplastea; Trypanosomatida; Trypanosomatidae. The record is from RNAcentral.